AGUGAACGCUGGCGGUAGGCCUAACACAUGCAAGUCGAACGGCAGCACAGUAAGAGCUUGCUCUUACGGGUGGCGAGUGGCGGACGGGUGAGGAAUAUAUCGGAAUCUACUUUUUCGUGGGGGAUAACGUAGGGAAACUUACGCUAAUACCGCAUACGACCUACGGGUGAAAGCAGGGGAUCUUCGGACCUUGCGCGAUUGAUUGAGGCGUUGUAGGGUUAGCUAGUUGGCGGGGUAAAGACCCACCAAGGCGACGAUCCGUAGCUGGUCUGAGAGAAUGAUCGGCCACACUGGAACGGGGACACGGUCCAGACUCCUACGGGAGGCAGCAGUGGGGAAUAUUGGACAAUGGGCGCAAGCCUGAUCCAGCCAUACCGCGUGGGUGAAGAAGGCCUUCGGGUUGUAAAGCCCUUUUGUGGGGAAAGAAAAGCAGCAGGUUAAUACCCCGCUGUUCUGACGGUACCCAAAGAAUAAGCACCGGCUAACUUCGUG
This 492-nucleotide ribosomal RNA is filed under the name uncultured bacterium. RNAcentral describes it as "partial 16S ribosomal RNA". It matches the Rfam family "Bacterial small subunit ribosomal RNA", at positions 29 to 507 of the family's 1533-position model. The record is from RNAcentral.